RNA transcript from Halichondria panicea, 2305 nucleotides. It is a transcript of the gene named 2-oxoglutarate and iron-dependent oxygenase JMJD4-like, with no coding region annotated. The record is from RefSeq and is a predicted model, not a curated record. Lineage: Eukaryota; Metazoa; Porifera; Demospongiae; Suberitida; Halichondriidae. The transcript has 7 exons.
CCCUUUCCUUGCCAUUCGUGAAAUCUGGAACAGGAGCGUCUUUAGGUCGAUCAAUUAGUGUGGAUCCGGCCUCACCACGCCUCCAAGUCAUUCUAUUAGUCUAGAUCCGGCUAGCAAUUCUAGCUGGGACUCCCAGUUCUAGCUCCUUUUGUUUAGCGUGUCAGAGACUGGGAGAAGAUGAUUGGCACUCCCUGGCUCCUUUGGAUGUACAGCUGUCCAGAUCCCUAGAACAUACCCUCCAUUCUGACGAGUUAUCAGUGCAUAGGGUGCUUACUAGAUUCUUGCCAGCCAGUACAGUUCAAGCUACACACAGCACCGCUCAACUAUUCUCUACCCCAUUAUCUAGCUAAAUCUGGUCCAACUAGACAGCAGACACAGCUAGUUAAUUCAGUAAAGCCAGGGGUAGCCCUACUUCUACGGUUGUUCAGUACCCACGGUAACAAUUCCUCUGGGCUGGGCUAACUAGUUGAGCCACGCCUCCCAAUUCUCAAGGCUAGGUACAUGUCUCUGUCUAGCUGCUUCUUCAGCUUCUUGCUCAGUUUUGUGGCUUAGAGAAAGGCCAGCUACUCAGGGGGAAGAGUCCAGAUGAAAGUCUGGCAGCCAGGUGACGUCCAAACGGUCAGUUAUUCUUUCCACCAACUUUUUAAUCUAGUCUAGUCCUGCUUGCACUGCUACUACUACUGCUGCCUACUGCUGCUACUCUUCCUAGCUAGUCAAAGGUUUCUUUUUUUUUUUUACAACUACAUAUGCACAAAGAGACAUCAAAGCUUACAUCAAAGGACACAGAUUUUUAGCCUACUUGACUGAUAAGGCGGUUACCUAGACUACAGUUUGUUUGUCAGGGAGGAGCUCACAUACAACUUCAUCUAAUUCAUCAUAACGAUUCCUUACCCAUUGUUGUAAUUUCUACAACAGAUUGCCAAGGAAAGAGAUAAUGAGAUAGAAAUCCAAGAAUAAAAUCUGAUGCAGGCGGUGGACCAGAAACCAGAGUAUCACUUGGAGUGGCCUAAUGGAGAGGCUUUAUUCGGACUUGGCUGAUUUCGUUGAAACAAAGCCAGACACGAAUCUCACUACUAGAAUUUGUAUUCUGUAUGAUGUAUCCAAAGGUCUUCGCUACCUUCACUCUCUGACCCCUCCCCUUAUCCAUCGUGACCUCACUGCUCCCAACAUCCUGCUCACUGAGGGUCUCACAGCCAAGAUCGGAGACUUGGGAAUGUCCAGAUUCAUUGAACAGGAGCGUUUAACUCAUUUUCUGACAAACAUUCCUGGAAAUCCAAAAUACAUGCCUCCCGAGUGCUACGAUGAAUACCCUAUCUAUACUACCAAGCUGGACAUCUUCUCAUUCGGUCAUCUCAUCGUUCACACUGUUAUCGGAUACUUUCCUAAUGUCUUCAACAUACCUCGAGAAGAUCGAAACCAUGCCAAGUACAUUAGUGAGGGUAAAGUCGAGCUCAUGCGACGAAAAUCUGCUAUCAUUAGUGACAAAAUGGGUGAGAAACACGCUCUUUAUCCUCUUGUUGUUCGCUGCCUUCACGACCACCCCGAGCAGAGACCAUCAGUUGAGGAAGUGAUCAGCUCAGUCAGAGAGCUGUGUCCCAGACCCACAAUGUCAUUUCUUGAGGCUUGCAAAACUGGUAAUGUGGGUGUGGUUCAAGAGCUACUGGAGUGUGGGGCUGAUCCAAAUCAGGCAGAUGAGUGUAACAAGACUGCUAUUUACUGGGCCAGUGACAAUGGACAUGAUGGGGUUGUGCUUGCCCUUACUAAAUCUGGGGCUAACGUACACACUCAGUCAAAGUCGGGACAGAGUCCUCUUUGGAUAGCCAGUUUCAAUGGUCACCAGAAAUGUGUGGGCUUACUAAUCGAUGCUGGAGCCAAUGUGGAUAUUCAAAACAAAGAUGGAGCAACUGCAUUGAUAGUGGCUGCUCACAAAGGUUAUUGUGGAGUUGUUAGAAUAUUGUUGGAGGCCAAGGCUGAUGUCCAUAUCAAGACUAAUAACUGACCUGAUAUCAAGAUUUCCAGAUUCUGGAAACUUUCUGACAUUUUUGGAGGAGAAUCUGCUUCCCAACCGUCCUUGUGUGUUUGGAGAGUCCUUCACUAGAGGAUGGAAGGCACGGCAAGAAUGGAGGAAUGUCGGCGACACACCUAACAUAGACUUUUUGGAGGAACAUUUUGAGAUUUUCCCAACUACAAGGCGUACACUGUACCUGACUUCUUCAAGAGUGACUGGCUGAAUGAAGUGUGGUCUGCAAGAUUGGAUGUCUCGGAUGAUUACAGAUUUGUAUACAUUGGUCCCAAAGGAACAUGG